RNAcentral lists this transfer RNA (77 nucleotides) under Deltaproteobacteria bacterium. RNAcentral describes it as "tRNA-His". It matches the Rfam family "tRNA". Rfam says of the family: Transfer RNA (tRNA) molecules are approximately 80 nucleotides in length. Their secondary structure includes four short double-helical elements and three loops (D, anti-codon, and T loops). The record is from RNAcentral. Lineage: Bacteria; Pseudomonadati; Myxococcota; Myxococcia.
GUGGGCGUAGCUCAGUUGGUUAGAGCGCCGGAUUGUGAUUCCGGAGGUCGCGGGUUCAAUUCCCGUCGUCCACCCCA